AUUGAACGCUGGCGGCAGGCCUAACACAUGCAAGUCGAGCGGAUGAAGGGAGCUUGCUCCUGGAUUCAGCGGCGGACGGGUGAGUAAUGCCUAGGAAUCUGCCUGGUAGUGGGGGAUAACGUCCGGAAACGGGCGCUAAUACCGCAUACGUCCUGAGGGAGAAAGUGGGGGAUCUUCGGACCUCACGCUAUCAGAUGAGCCUAGGUCGGUUUAGCUAGUUGGUGGGGUAAAGGCCUACCAAGGCAACGAUCCGUAGCUGGUCUGAGAGGAUGAUCAGUCAAACUGGAACUGAGAACCGGCCCAGACUCCUAGGGGAGGAAGCAGUGGGGAAUAUUGGACAUAGGGCGAAAUCCUGAUCCAGCCAUGCGGCGUGGUUGAAGAAGGUCUUCGGAUGGUAAAGCACUUUAAGUUGGGAGGAAGGUGAGUAAGUUAAUACCUUGCUGUUUUGACGUUACCAACAGAAUAAGCAACGGCUAACUACGUG
This 484-nucleotide ribosomal RNA is filed under the name uncultured bacterium. RNAcentral's name for it is "partial 16S ribosomal RNA". It matches the Rfam family "Bacterial small subunit ribosomal RNA", at positions 30 to 507 of the family's 1533-position model. The record is from RNAcentral.